RNAcentral lists this ribosomal RNA (381 nucleotides) under Medaeops neglectus. RNAcentral's name for it is "partial 12S ribosomal RNA". Lineage: Eukaryota; Metazoa; Arthropoda; Malacostraca; Decapoda; Xanthidae. The record is from RNAcentral.
UUAGAUACCCUAUUAUACUAACGUUUGCUCAGAUUAAUAACAGUUAUGUUCUUGAAAUUCGAAGAAUUUGGCGGUGAUUUAGUCUUGUUAGAGGAACCUGUUUCUGAAUCGAUACACCACGUAAAAUCUUACUCGUUUUAGUUGAAGUUUAUAUACCGUCAUUAACAGAUAAUUUUUUAAAAAUUAAUUAUUAAAGUUUUAAAAAGUUUAAAAGAAAAUUAGAUCAAGGUGUAGCUAAUAGACGAGUUGAAAUGGGUUACAAUAAAAUUUAUUUAAUACGAAGCAAAAAUUAAAGAAAAAAAUUGUGAAGGAGGAUUUAAUUGUAAUCAAAGUUUAAUAAGCUUUAAAGAUAUGAGCUCUAAAUCAUGUACAUAUCGCCCG